This 1112-nucleotide ribosomal RNA is filed under the name uncultured Tetracladium. RNAcentral describes it as "eukaryotic LSU rRNA". The stretch from base 479 to 1112 matches the Rfam family "Eukaryotic large subunit ribosomal RNA", at positions 1 to 649 of the family's 3401-position model. Lineage: Eukaryota; Fungi; Ascomycota. The record is from RNAcentral.
AAGGAUCAUUACCGAGUUCAUGCCCUUCGGGGUAGAUCUCCCACCCUUUGUAUACUAUACCUUUGUUGCUUUGGCGGGCCGCCUAGCUACUGGCUUCGGCUGGUAAGUGCCCGCCAGAGAACCCAAAACCCUGAAUUAUUAGUGUCGUCUGAGUAAAAUAUUUAAUAUUUAAAACUUUCAACAACGGAUCUCUUGGCUCUGGCAUCGAUGAAGAACGCAGCGAAAUGCGAUAAGUAAUGUGAAUUGCAGAAUUCAGUGAAUCAUCGAAUCUUUGAACGCACAUUGCGCCCCUUGGUAUUCCGAGGGGCAUGCCUAUUCGAGCGUCAUUAUCACCCCUCAAGCCUAGCUUGGUGUUGAGACCUGCUGUCAAGGCAGUCUCUAAAAUCAGUGGCAGUGCUGUCAGGCUCUAAGCGUAGUAAAUUCAUCGCUAUAGACACCUGGUGGCCACUCGCCAGAACCCCCCCCAUUUUUUAAUGAUUGACCUCGGAUUAGGUAGGGAUACCCGCUGAACUUAAGCAUAUCAAUAAGCGGAGGAAAAGAAACCAACAGGGAUUGCCUCAGUAACGGCGAGUGAAGCGGCAAAAGCUCAAAUUUGAAAUCUGGCUCUUUUAGGGUCCGAGUUGUAAUUUGUAGAAGAUGUUUCGGGUGUGGCUCCGGUUUAAGUUCUUUGGAAUAUUACAUCAUAGAGGGUGAGAAUCCCGUAUGUGACCGGCAGCCUUCGCCUAUGUGAAACUCUUUCGACGAGUCGAGUUGUUUGGGAAUGCAGCUCAAAAUGGGAGGUAUAUUUCUUCUAAAGCUAAAUAUUGGCCAGAGACCGAUAGCGCACAAGUAGAGUGAUCGAAAGAUGAAAAGCACUUUGGAAAGAGAGUUAAACAGUACGUGAAAUUGUUGAAAGGGAAGCGCUUGCAACCAGACUUGCACGCAGUUGAUCAUCCGGUGUUCUCACCGGGGCACUCUGCUGCGUUCAGGCCAGCAUCGGUUUUGGUGGUUGGAUAAAGGCCUUGGGAAUGUGGCUUCCUUCGGGGAGUGUUAUAGCCCUCGGUGCAAUGCAGCCUACCGGGACCGAGGACCGCGCUUCGGCUAGGAUGCUGGCGUAAUGGUUGUAAGCGACC